RNAcentral lists this ribosomal RNA (253 nucleotides) under uncultured bacterium. Its description in RNAcentral is "partial 16S ribosomal RNA". It matches the Rfam family "Bacterial small subunit ribosomal RNA", at positions 524 to 776 of the family's 1533-position model. The record is from RNAcentral.
UACGUAGGGUCCGAGCGUUGUCCGGAAUUAUUGGGCGUAAAGGGCUCGUAGGCGGUUUGUCGCGUCGGGAGUGAAAACUCAGGGCCCAACCCUGAGCGUGCUUCCGAUACGGGCAGACUAGAGGUAUGCAGGGGAGAACGGAAUUCCUGGUGUAGCGGUGGAAUGCGCAGAUAUCAGGAGGAACACCGGUGGCGAAGGCGGUUCUCUGGGCAUUACCUGACGCUGAGGAGCGAAAGCAUGGGGAGCGAACAGG